CCUACGGGAGGCAGCAGUGAGGAAUAUUGGUCAAUGGGCUUACGCCUGAACCAGCCAAGUCGCGUGAGGGAAGACUGCCCUAUGGGUUGUAAACCUCUUUUGUCAGGGAGCAAAGCCGGCUACGUGUAGCCGGACUGAGAGGACCUGAAGAAAAAGCAGCGGCUAACUCCGUGCCAGCAGCCGCGGUAAUACGGAGGAUGCGCGCGUGAGCAGGAUUUAAUGGGUUUAAAGGGUGCGUAGGCGGAAUGCCAAGUCAGCGGUACAAUCGCGGGGCUCACCCUCGCUCCGCCGUUGAAACUGGCGUUCUUGCGUGGGCGAGAAGUAUGCGGAAUGCGUGGUGUAGCGGU
This 347-nucleotide ribosomal RNA is filed under the name uncultured bacterium. RNAcentral's name for it is "partial 16S ribosomal RNA". It matches the Rfam family "Bacterial small subunit ribosomal RNA", at positions 338 to 682 of the family's 1533-position model. The record is from RNAcentral.